Molecule: ribosomal RNA, 388 nt
Filed under: uncultured bacterium
Lineage: Bacteria
Description: bacterial SSU rRNA
Rfam family: Bacterial small subunit ribosomal RNA
Source: RNAcentral
AUUGAACGCUGGCGGCAUGCCUUACACAUGCAAGUCGAACGGCAGCACGGGAGCAAUCCUGGUGGCGAGUGGCGAACGGGUGAGUAAUAUAUCGGAACGUGCCCAGUCGUGGGGAUAACGUAGCGAAAGCUACGCUAAUACCGCAUACGAUCUAUGGAUGAAAGCGGGGGAUCGCAAGACCUCGCGCGAUUGGAGCGGCCGAUAUCAGAUUAGGUAGUUGGUGAGGUAAAGGCUCACCAAGCCGACGAUCUGUAGCUGGUCUGAGAGGACGACCAGCCACACUGGGACUGAGACACGGCCCAGACUCCUACGGGAGGCAGCAGUGGGGAAUAUUGGACAAUGGGCGAAAGCCUGAUCCAGCAAUGCCGCGUGCAGGAUGAAGGCCUUC